Molecule: ribosomal RNA, 252 nt
Filed under: uncultured Coriobacteriaceae bacterium
Lineage: Bacteria; Bacillati; Actinomycetota; Coriobacteriia; Coriobacteriales; Coriobacteriaceae
Description: partial 16S ribosomal RNA
Rfam family: Bacterial small subunit ribosomal RNA
Source: RNAcentral
UACGUAGGGGGCGAGCGUUAUCCGGAUUCAUUGGGCGUAAAGCGCGCGUAGGCGGCGCGUCAAGCGGGACCUCUAACCCCGGGGCUCAACCCCGGGCCGGGUCCCGGACUGGCGCGCUCGAGUGCGGUAGAGGCGAGUGGAAUUCCCGGUGUAGCGGUGGAAUGCGCAGAUAUCACGCAGAACCCCGAUUGCGAAGGCAGCAUACCGGCGCCCUACUGACGCUGAGGCACGAAAGUGCGGGUAUCGAACAGG